UACGUAGGUGGCGAGCGUUGCCCGGAUUUACUGGGUGUAAAGGGCGCGUAGGCGGGCUGACAAGUCAGAUGUGAAAUCUCCGGGCUCAACCCGGAAACUGCAUUUGAAACUGCCAGUCUUGAGUGUCGGAGAGGUAGACGGAAUUCCUAGUGUAGCGGUGAAAUGCGUAGAUAUUAGGAGGAACACCAGUGGCGAAGGCGGUCUACUGGACGAUAACUGGCGCUGAGGCGCGAAAGCGUGGGGAGCAAAC
Molecule: ribosomal RNA, 250 nt
Filed under: uncultured prokaryote
Description: partial 16S ribosomal RNA
Rfam family: Bacterial small subunit ribosomal RNA
Source: RNAcentral